This 357-nucleotide unclassified non-coding RNA is filed under the name Gonocarpus chinensis subsp. verrucosus. RNAcentral's name for it is "partial miscellaneous RNA". Lineage: Eukaryota; Viridiplantae; Streptophyta; Magnoliopsida; Saxifragales; Haloragaceae. The record is from RNAcentral.
ACGACGUUGUAAAACGACGUUAUGCAUGAACGUAAUGCUCACAAUUUCCCUCUAGACCUAGCUGCUGUUGAAGCUCCAUCUACAAAUGGAUAAGACUUUUGUCUUAGUGUAUAUGUAUAUGAGUUUUUGAAAAUAAAGGAACAAUACUCAAUUUCUUGUUUUAUCAAGAAUUUUGGUAUUGUUCCUUUAUUUUAUUUAAUAGUUUUUCUACUUAGAAUUACUUAAUUAGAAUUAUUUAUUCUUAUUAGAGAAUUACUUAGAAUGUUAGUCUAUUUUAGUCUAUUCUUAGAAUUUUUUAUUCUAUUUUAGACAAAGUAGUUGUAUUCUUAUUAUUGUUAUUAUAUGAUAUGGUUUAAU